Molecule: ribosomal RNA, 630 nt
Filed under: uncultured Lachnospiraceae bacterium
Lineage: Bacteria; Bacillati; Bacillota; Clostridia; Lachnospirales; Lachnospiraceae
Description: bacterial SSU rRNA
Rfam family: Bacterial small subunit ribosomal RNA
Source: RNAcentral
UUCAACUCAGUGGCGGACGGGUGAGUAACGCGUGAGUAACCUGCCUUUCAGAGGGGGAUAACGUUCUGAAAAGAACGCUAAUACCGCAUAAGAUUGUAGUUUCGCAUGGAGCAGCAAUCAAAGGAGCAAUCCGCUGAAAGAUGGACUCGCGUCCGAUUAGAUAGUUGGCGGGGUAACGGCCCACCAAGUCGACGAUCGGUAGCCGGACUGAGAGGUUGAUCGGCCACAUUGGGACUGAGACACGGCCCAGACUCCUACGGGAGGCAGCAGUGAGGGAUAUUGGGCAAUGGGGGAAACCCUGACCCAGCAACGCCGCGUGAGGGAUGACGGUUUUCGGAUUGUAAACCUCUGUCCUCUGUGAAGAUAGUGACGGUAGCAGAGGAGGAAGCUCCGGCUAACUACGUGCCAGCAGCCGCGGUAAUACGUAGGGAGCAAGCGUUGUCCGGAUUUACUGGGUGUAAAGGGUGCGUAGGCGGAUUGGCAAGUCAGAAGUGAAAUCCAUGGGCUUAACCCAUGAACUGCUUUUGAAACUGUUAGUCUUGAGUGAAGUAGAGGUAGGCGGAAUUCCCGGUGUAGCGGUGAAAUGCGUAGAGAUCGGGAGGAACACCAGUGGCGAAGGCGGCCUACUGG